Long non-coding RNA from Maniola jurtina (meadow brown), 92 nucleotides. RefSeq lists it as uncharacterized. The record is from RefSeq and is a predicted model, not a curated record. NCBI's taxonomy places the organism in Eukaryota, Metazoa, Arthropoda, Insecta, Lepidoptera, Nymphalidae. The transcript is spliced from 3 exons.
UACGAUGCAAAUGUUGUUCCACGCGCUCGUGUACUGUGUACGGAUGUAGCACUCACACUAAUGCAGACGGCGAACGCGUGUUGAGGCGCGGC